RNAcentral lists this ribosomal RNA (165 nucleotides) under uncultured bacterium. RNAcentral describes it as "partial 16S ribosomal RNA". It matches the Rfam family "Bacterial small subunit ribosomal RNA", at positions 1335 to 1500 of the family's 1533-position model. The record is from RNAcentral.
CUAGUAAUGGCAGGUCAGCAUACUGCCGUGAAUACGUUCCCGGGCCCUGUACACACCGCCCGUCACACCAUGAGAGUUGGGAAUACCCGAAGCCUGUGAGCUAACUAUAUGAGGCAGCAGUCGAAGGUAGAAUCAAUGAUUGGGGUGAAGUCGUAACAAGGUAAC